CACGAAGAACAAUUAAAAACAUAAAAGAUACGGCCCCUUCAUUUACUGUGUAAAUCAUCUGUCACUCAGAAGUAAUUGCGUCAUCUUAUGGUUUAUUUAUUAUUAUGAAAAAUUAUCAAGGACAUCUUAGUCUUUCCCUUUAUUUUUUUUAUAAUAGUUUAAUUACUUGAUUAAACUUUAAAAUAAUUAAUUAAUUAACUCAAGUCUAAGAGCUUUUUUCUAGAUUUUACUUCAAUCAACACAAUGAAUUGAUUUUGUUACCCUGAAUUCAAUUUUUACCCUUGAAAUUCUAAUCUUUCAAAACUUGCUUCAAUGUAAGAGUCAUCGAGCCUUCUUUAUCUUGGUACGGCGCGUGUCAACGGUAGGACAAUGGUACAAUGUAUCGCAAAAGAAGAAAAAAACACAAGCCAGUCGAUUUUAAUCUUUCUUUACUUUUUUUUAGAUCUGUUUUCUUCUUUUUUGUUUCGUUGUUCUUUCCUUUUCAGGUAGCAGAUCCAGCGGCUGUGGGUCUGUCACGGUUGAAAGGAGGAGGGCGAUGGUCCUGCUGGUGUUUGAAGGGUGGCGUUGCCACGGUUGGUGGUGAAGAGAAUCGGGGUAGAUGGAGGAGCUAUCGAUGUUCUGUGGGGGCAGAGGACAGGAAGACAGAUCGGGACAGAGAGGGGAAGAUCUGGUGAGGAAAAUGAUGGAGAAGAGGGAGGUCUGUCCGGUGUGUUAUAUUUGAGAAAAUAUAAAUUGAUGCACUUAGAACACUGGGAGUAAUUGAUAUCUAUAUUCAAUAGAAACAGUGGCUAUAAAUAGCCUUACAAUGCAGGAUAAAAUCAAAUAACAACCCACGAAGUUCAUGCUCUAAGAUCGUGGUGAAUGACUAAGUCUUGUAACAGAAAAUGUGAUCUUCUCCCUAAUAGACAGGAGACUUAUUUGCAAUGCUAUGGCUAAGUCAACAUCUAAUUUUAUCAUCCUCCCUUAAACUGCAUGUGCAGGCAGUUUAUUCAGUGUAUUCACAAAUACCCAUUAAGUCUCGUAAUUUCAAAAAAGCUUCAAUCUUCAAAGGCUUAGUCAUGAUAUCUGCAAUUUGAUCAUGAGUAGAACAAUAUGUUAGUUCUAUAACUUCGUCCUUGACCAGAUCACGGAGAAAAUGAAAACGAAUGUCGAUGUGCUUGCUACGUCCAUGCAUAACUGGAUUUUUUGAAAGUUUGAUGGCUGAGAUAUUAUCACAAUAUACAACCAUCGGUCCGGAUUGUGUAUAAUUUAGACUUUUUAGAAUUCUCCUCAGCCAGAUGACUUGGCAAGUGCUAGAUGCUGCGGCAAUAAAUUCAGCUUAUGUAGUAGAAAGGGUAACUACUGGUUGUUUCUUUGAAGACCAGGAUACUGCAGUUGAAUUCAUCAUAAAAACAUAACCAGAAGUACUUUUUCUAUCAUUUUGAUCUCCCGCGUAAUCACUGUCCGUGUAACCGAACAAUUCAGCAACUCCUCCCUUCUUAUAGAACAUCCCAAAACUGGUUGUGCCUUUUAUAAACCUUAGAAUCCUCUUUGCCGCCAUAAAAUGAGAUUCUGUGGGGUGCUCCAUGUACCUGCUGAUCAGACUCACAGCAAACAUCAAAUCAGGACGUGUGGCAGUAAGGUACAUAAGACUCCCCACCAUUUGCUUGUAAAGGGUGCUAUCGACUUGAACUCCUCCUUCAUCUCUUGUCAGUUUAAAUCCAGGAAUAAUUGGAUUUUUCACUGAGUUGCACUGACCCAUAUGAAAUCUCUCAAGAAUUUCAUGAGCAUAUUUGCGUUGGCAUAUAAAUAUGCGAUCAUCCUUCUGCAAUACCUCGAUGCCUAGAAAAUAUCUCAUUUUUCCAAGAUCAGUCAUGUCGAAUUCAGUCAUCAUGGAUUUCUUGAAUUUAUUGAACAUACCUUCAUCAUUCCCAGUAAAUAUGAGAUCAUCAACAUAAAGACAACUGAUCAAAAUUUUACCUCCAUCUCCAAUUUUAAUGAACAAGGUAUGUUCAUGUGGACAUUUGUUGAAGCCUUCUUGCACAAAGUAUGACUCUAUGCCACUAUACCAAGCGCGGGGAGCUUGUUUUAGUCCAUACAAUGCUUUCUUUAGACGAUAAACUUUUGAUUCAUGCCCUUUUUUUUCAUAGCCUGGAGGUUGAUCUACAAACACCUCUUCAUUAAUUUCACCAUGUAGGAAAGCGGAUUUGACAUCAAGCUGAAAAAUGUCCCAACCUUUAUGCGCUGCAAGAGAGAUUACCAUGCGAAUCGUAUCUAGCCGUGCCACGGGUGCAAAGACUUCAGCGUAGUCAAUCCCAUAUUGUUGACUAUACCCCUUAGCAACUAGACGUGCUUUAUAUUUAUCAACCUCCCCGAGCUCAUUGAAUUUUGUUUUAAAAAUCCAUUUGACUCCUACAGUUUUAGCCCCCGGUGGCAGAUCAGUUAAUUCCCACGUCUGGUUUCUCUCUAUUGCAUAGAUUUCAGCAUUCAUAGCCACCCUCCACUUGUCAUCUUUCACGGCAUCAUCAAAGGAUGAUGGGUCAUUGUCGGUGAACAAUGCCAGAUUUCCAAAGUGCAAAUCGACUGCCACAUCGUCUGCUCUCCUCAAAUGAACGUCGUCUGCCACGUCGUCUGCAUCAUUCAAAUUCACGUCGUCUGCAUCACCAAAAUCACUUCCCAUUUCAUAUUCUCUCAUCCAUCGGGGCUGUCUUCUUCUUCUUCCUCGAGAUAAAAUCAAAUUCUCAGAAUUUUCAGAAUUUUCCCCCAGCUCAGCUUAGUCUUCCACCAGCUCCUCCAGUUCGGCUUGACCAUCAUCUUGCUCAACACACCCUUUGUUAUUACCAAACCCAUUCCCCUCUGUUUCCGCAACUGCAAACCCAUUUCCUUCCUGUUCUGGAAAUGGCUCCCACUCGUCUCCAAUUCUUGGUCUGCCAUGAUCUCCCCACUGGAAAUCUGCCUCCUUUUCUUGCCCAUGAUCUCCCCAAUUCCACUGUUUUUCUUCCUCAAAAACCACAUCCCUGCUAAUGAUAAUUUUGUUUGAAAUUGGAUCAAACAUACGGUAGGCCUUAGAAUUUUCGCUUACCCCCAGAAAAACACACUUGAUGUUUUUUGUAUCAAGUUUAAUUCUUCUUUGAGUUGGAACAUGUACAUGCCCCAAACAGCCGAAUACUCUGAAGUGCGCCACCGAUGGUUUAACACCAUCCCAUGCCUCCUGUGGUGUUUUAUUUUUCACAGCAAGAGUGGGGCUGCGAUUCAACACAUGCACCGCCCAAUUAACGGCUUCGGGCCAAAAGGUUUUGGGAAUUUGCUUCUCCAGCAACAAGCUCCUCACCAUAUUCAAGAUUGUCCUGUUUUUCCUCUCGGCGAUGCCAUUUUGUUGGGGCGAGUAUGGGGCUGUCAAUUGCUUGUGAAUGCCAUUAUCAUUGUAGAAGGCUGUGAAUUCGGUUGAGGUGAAUUCACCCCCUCGGUCUGAUCUGAGGUUUUGAAUGAAAGUUCCAGUGACUUUUUCGACCCGAGCCUUAAAUUGCUUGAAGGCUGAAAAAGCUUCUGAUUUGUCUGCCAAAAAAUAAACCCAGAUUUUCCUGCUAUAAUCGUCAAUAAACGUUAUGAUAUACCUUCUAUUGUUGUUUGAGCUGGGAUUGAUUGGACCGCAGAGAUCAGUGUGCACCAAUUGGAGAAUUGCAGUGGCCCUCCACACGCUUUCCCGAGGAAAUGGGUCUCGGUGUUGUCUGCCGAUCAAGCAUCAUGUGCAUACUUGUUGAGUUGCUUUGAAUGGUGGUAACCCAUUUACCAUCUUCUUCUGUUGUAAUGUUUUGAUGCCAUUCCAGCGGAGAUGUCCAUAACGGUGGUGCCAAAGGGUGGCCUGAUCAGUGUUGAUGGUUGAAAAAUAAGCUUGAUCUUGUGUGGACUUGCAGUGACCAAUGACAGUAAACAGCCGAUUGUGGGUCAUCGCAAUUUCAAUAAUUAGACCUUUCACAGGAUGAAAGAUCUUACAUUUGCCCUGCUGCAUUGUCACAGCAAGUCCCUUCUCCAUUAAUUGACCAAUGCUUAGAAGAUUGUUCUUCAAUUCUGGAACAAAGAAGACAUCUGUGAUGACAUGGUAAAUUACAUUCACUUCUAUUCGAAUACGUCCUCUGCCAUGCACACUAAGACUGGAAUUGUUCCCCAUUUUCACUGAUUCUUUGAAAUUGCAGUCAAAGUCAAAAAAUAUAUCCCUCCUACCACACAUAUGGUUACUGCACCCGGAAUCAAGAAACCAUAUGUGUUGCGCAGCAUCAUCCUGAGAAGAAAUGUGUGCCAUUAGCAACAUUUCUUCUCUUGUCUCUACAUAGUGUGCCUUCUGAUCACCUAGUGUCUUGGAACAUUCCCAUUGGUAAUGUCCGAAGUCAUCAUAAUUGUAGCAUUUUAUUGUUGAUUUGUCAAAGACAAACCUGCCUCUGCCUCUUCCUCCUCUUCCUCUUCCUCUGCCACGAUAGGGGUUGCGUCCCCCAUCACGACCUCUUUGUUGACCUCCAUAACUGACCUACAAUGUUUGCUCUUCCAUUAUGACAUGACGACUGAUUCGUUGUUCAUGAACCAGCAAGCUACUCUGUAGUUCGUCAAUGGACAGAUUGUCCAGGUCAUUGGACUCCUCGAUUGAACAUACGACAUAGUCAUAUUUCGGAGUCAUGGACCUUAGGAUUUUCUCAAUAAUCACCACAUCUUUCAUGUGCUCCCCAUGAAUUCUCAUUUUGUUAGCAAUAAUGAGUGUUUUUGCAAAAUAAUCACUGACUGAAUCACCAGAUUUCAUGUGCAGUACCUCAAAUUCCUUCUGCAAAGCCUGCAAUUGAGCACGUUUCACACGUGCAGUUCCUUGGUAUUUCUGUUUCAAAGAAUCCCAGAUGUCCUUUGUUGUGUCCUUCUUCAGUAUGGUUCCAAGAUCGAUCGGUCGAGAGCUUGAAACAGGUAAUUCUUGCAUUUCAGGUCCUUCAAUUUCUGUUCUUCAUGCAAUUUCUUCUGCGCCUCUGUUGGUUCAUCUCCUUCUGCUGCUGCAGUGAUCCCCAUCUCCAUAAGGCUCCAGUAUUCUUUGGAGCGUAAGAAAUUCUCCAUCAGCAUACUCUAGUGAUCAUAGUGACCAUCAAGCUUUGGGAUGGCAGGCUGAACAAAGCUACUUUCCGAUGACAUGAUUUUGGUGUUUGGCAGGUUGUUGUGUUUAGUUCUUUUGUGCUCUGAUACCAAAUGUUAUAUUUGAGAAAAUAUAAAUUGAUGCACUUAGAACACUGGGAGUAAUUGAUAUCUAUAUUCAAUAGAAACAGUGGCUAUAAAUAGCCUUACAAUGCAAGAUAAAAUCAAAUAACAACCCACGAAGUUCAUGCCCUAAGAUCGUGGUGAAUGACUAAGUCUUGUAACAGAAAAUGUGAUCUUCUCCCUAAUAGACAGGAGACUUAUUUGCAAUGUUAUGGCUAAGUCAACAUCUAAUUUUAUCACGGUGGGCGUUGGUUUUGGGGGUAUGGUUGGUUCAGUUUUUUUUUUUUUGUCUUGGCGAGCUGCGGUUCUGGUCGAGGGAGAUGAAGGGAACGAUUGAGAGGCUGGGAGACGGAGGGCUGUGAGAGGGAGGAGAGAGCGUGCAGUGGCAGAGGGGGAAGCUAGCGAUGGAGAAGGUGAAUAAUAGAUCUGGAAAAGAGAAGGAGUAAUCGGGCGACAGAGAGAGGGAAAAGUCGGGGACGGCUGAAAAAGGAGAAAAGGAAAAGAAAGCGAGAGUGGCGACCGGUUUGGUUUUUAUAGCGUAGGUGGAGGCGAUUCUGUGCAGAGAAAAUAUAUCUACGGUUUUUUUUAUGCUUCCUUAAAUUUUCUCCGCUCAAAAUUGCCCCCCUACAUAAAAAUGUGGUGUGGAAAUCUAUUUAUAAGUGAAGAAAGUUAUUUUUAAUCGACUGGUCCCUCAGUUUGUUGUCUUUCACGAAUUGAUUUUUGACUGUGAAAUGUUUUUAAUUAAUUUUUAAUUGAUAUCAAAAUUUUAAUGCUCUU
This 5982-nucleotide long non-coding RNA is filed under the name Populus trichocarpa (black cottonwood). Its description in RNAcentral is "long non-coding RNA (PTRI_LNC003622)". The record is from RNAcentral. Lineage: Eukaryota; Viridiplantae; Streptophyta; Magnoliopsida; Malpighiales; Salicaceae.